Molecule: unclassified non-coding RNA, 213 nt
Filed under: Hevea brasiliensis (rubber tree)
Lineage: Eukaryota; Viridiplantae; Streptophyta; Magnoliopsida; Malpighiales; Euphorbiaceae
Source: RNAcentral
UUCUCCUUGUGCAUCUCCGAGCAAUCAGAGUUACAUCAACAAUAACUUUUCCAAUGGCAGCCUGGAAAUUCUGGAAGCCUGACAACCUUUUAAGGAAAGACUGCCCAGAGGAUGAAAACUGAUGAUUCAAAUAUGUUCAAGCAAAAGUUAGACUAUACAAAAUAAACUGCAUAACUUCAUUGACAUGCACGUAUAGCUAAAAGGACUGAGUUG